RNAcentral lists this ribosomal RNA (253 nucleotides) under uncultured bacterium. RNAcentral's name for it is "partial 16S ribosomal RNA". It matches the Rfam family "Bacterial small subunit ribosomal RNA", at positions 524 to 776 of the family's 1533-position model. The record is from RNAcentral.
GACAGAGGUGCCAAGCGUUAGGCGGAAUCACUGGGCUUAAAGCGUGUGUAGGCGGGUCGUUAAGUACCUUGUGAAAUCCCACGGCUCAACCGUGGAACGGCUGGGUAUACUGGCGAUCUUGAGCCACCUAGGGGCAGUCGGAACAAGUGGUGGAGCGGUGAAAUGCGUAGAUAUCACUUGGAACGCCAAUGGUGAAAACAGACUGCUGGGGGUGUGCUGACGCUGAGACACGAAAGCCAGGGGAGCAAACAGG